GAGUUAUCUGAACCUUCGGGGAACGAUAACGGCGUCGAGCGGCGGACGGGUGAGUAAUGCCUAGGAAAUUGCCCUGAUGUGGGGGAUAACCAUUGGAAACGAUGGCUAAUACCGCAUGAUGCCUACGGGCCAAAGAGGGGGACCUUCGGGCCUCUCGCGUCAGGAUAUGCCUAGGUGGGAUUAGCUAGUUGGUGAGGUAAGGGCUCACCAAGGCGACGAUCCCUAGCUGGUCUGAGAGGAUGAUCAGCCACACUGGAACUGAGACACGGUCCAGACUCCUACGGGAGGCAGCAGUGGGGAAUAUUGCACAAUGGGCGCAAGCCUGAUGCAGCCAUGCCGCGUGUGUGAAGAAGGCCUUCGGGUUGUAAAGCACUUUCAGUCGUGAGGAAGGUAGUGUAGUUAAUAGCUGCAUUAUUUGACGUUAGCGACAGAAGAAGCACCGGCUAACUCCGUGCCAGCAGCCGCGGUAAUACGGAGGGUGCGAGCGUUAAUCGGAAUUACUGGGCGUAAAGCGCAUGCAGGUGGUUUGUUAAGUCAGAUGUGAAAGCCCGGGGCUCAACCUCGGAAUAGCAUUUGAAACUGGCAGACUAGAGUACUGUAGAGGGGGGUAGAAUUUCAGGUGUAGCGGUGAAAUGCGUAGAGAUCUGAAGGAAUACCGGUGGCGAAGGCGGCCCCCUGGACAGAUACUGACACUCAGAUGCGAAAGCGUGGGGAGCAAACAGGAUUAGAUACCCUGGUAGUCCACGCCGUAAACGAUGUCUACUUGGAGGUUGUGGCCUUGAGCCGUGGCUUUCGGAGCUAACGCGUUAAGUAGACCGCCUGGGGAGUACGGUCGCAAGAUUAAAACUCAAAUGAAUUGACGGGGGCCCGCACAAGCGGUGGAGCAUGUGGUUUAAUUCGAUGCAACGCGAAGAACCUUACCUACUCUUGACAUCCAGAGAACUUUCCAGAGAUGGAUUGGUGCCUUCGGGAACUCUGAGACAGGUGCUGCAUGGCUGUCGUCAGCUCGUGUUGUGAAAUGUUGGGUUAAGUCCCGCAACGAGCGCAACCCUUAUCCUUGUUUGCCAGCGAGUAAUGUCGGGAACUCCAGGGAGACUGCCGGUGAUAAACCGGAGGAAGGUGGGGACGACGUCAAGUCAUCAUGGCCCUUACGAGUAGGGCUACACACGUGCUACAAUGGCGCAUACAGAGGGCGGCCAACUUGCGAAAGUGAGCGAAUCCCAAAAAGUGCGUCGUAGUCCGGAUUGGAGUCUGCAACUCGACUCCAUGAAGUCGGAAUCGCUAGUAAUCGUGGAUCAGAAUGCCACGGUGAAUACGUUCCCGGGCCUUGUACACACCGCCCGUCACACCAUGGGAGUGGGCUGCAAAAGAAGUAGGUA
RNAcentral lists this ribosomal RNA (1379 nucleotides) under Vibrio sp. Its description in RNAcentral is "bacterial SSU rRNA". It matches the Rfam family "Bacterial small subunit ribosomal RNA", at positions 68 to 1432 of the family's 1533-position model. Lineage: Bacteria; Pseudomonadati; Pseudomonadota; Gammaproteobacteria; Vibrionales; Vibrionaceae. The record is from RNAcentral.